UACGGAGGGAGCUAGCGUUGUUCGGAAUUACUGGGCGUAAAGCGCACGUAGGCGGCUUUUUAAGUCAGGGUGAAAUACCCCGACGGCUCAACCUCGGAACUGCCCUUGAAACUGGGAAGCUAGAAUCUUGGAGAGGCGAGUGGAAUUCCGAGUGUAGAGGUGAAAUUCGUAGAUAUUCGGAAGAACACCAGUGGCGAAGGCGACUCGCUGGACAAGUAUUGACGCUGAGGUGCGAAAGCGUGGGGAGCAAACAGGAUUAGAUACCCGGGUAGU
RNAcentral lists this ribosomal RNA (273 nucleotides) under uncultured bacterium. RNAcentral describes it as "partial 16S ribosomal RNA". It matches the Rfam family "Bacterial small subunit ribosomal RNA", at positions 524 to 794 of the family's 1533-position model. The record is from RNAcentral.